AAAGCAGGAGCAAUCUUGUGAGUACAGUGGCGUACGGGUGAGUAACACGGGGAUCAUCUACCUUCUAGUGGGGAAUACCCCUGGGAAACUGGGGACAAUACCGCAUAAGCUCGUAAGAGGAAAGCAGCAAUGCGCUGGAAGAGGAGUCCGCGGCUGAUUAGCUAGUUGGCGGGGUAAUGGCCCACCAAGGCGAAGAUCGGUAGCCGGCCUGAGAGGGCACACGGCCACACUGGCACUGAAACACGGGCCAGACUCCUACGGGAGGCAGCAGUGGGGAAUCUUGCACAAUGGAGGAAACUCUGAUGCAGCGACGCCGCGUGAGCGAUGAAGCCCUUCGGGGUGUAAAGCUCUUUCGACGGGAACGAUAAUGACGGUACCCGAAGAAGAAGCUGCGGCUAACUACGUGCCAGCAGCCGCGGUAAUACGUAGGCAGCAAGCGUUGUUCGGAAUUACUGGGCGUAAAGAGUGUGUAGGCGGUGUUCUAAGUUUGUCGUGAAAUCUCCCGGCUUAACUGGGAGGGUGCGGCGAAAACUGGAAUGCUAGAGGAUGGGAGAGGUAAGCGGAAUUCCUGGUGUAGCGGUGAAAUGCGUAGAUAUCAGGAGGAACACCUGUGGUGUAGACAGCUUACUGGACCAUUUCUGACGCUGAGACACGAAAGCGUGGGUAGCAAACAGGAUUAGAUACCCUGGUAGUCCACGCCCUAAACGAUGCAUACUUGGUGUGAGCGAUUCAUUUCGUUCGUGCCGGAGCUAACGCGUUAAGUAUGCCGCCUGGGGAGUACGGUCGCAAGGCUGAAACUC
This 800-nucleotide ribosomal RNA is filed under the name uncultured Bacillota bacterium. RNAcentral describes it as "bacterial SSU rRNA". It matches the Rfam family "Bacterial small subunit ribosomal RNA", at positions 70 to 902 of the family's 1533-position model. Lineage: Bacteria; Bacillati; Bacillota. The record is from RNAcentral.